AUAGAUACCUGUAGUCCAUGCCGUAAACGAUGAAUGCUAAGUGUUGGAGGGUUUCCCCCUUCAGUGCUGCAGCUAACGCAUUAAGCAUUCCGCUGGGGAGUACGACCGCAAGGUUGAAACUCAAAGGAAUUGACGGGGGCCCGCACAAGCGGUGGAGCAUGUGGUUUAAUUCGAAGCAACGCGAAGAACCUUACCAGGUCUUGACAUCUAGCGCCAACCUCAGAGAUGAGGUGUUCCCUUCGGGGACGCUAAGACAGGUGGUGCAUGGUUGUCGUCAGCUCGUGUCGUGAGAUGUUGGGUUAAGUCCCGCAACGAGCGCAACCCUUAUUAUCAGUUGCCAGCAUUCAGUUGGGCACUCUGGUGAGACUGCCGGUGACAAACCGGAGGAAGGUGGGGACGACGUCAAAUCAUCAUGCCCCUUAUGACCUGGGCUACACACGUGCUACAAUGGACGGUACAACGAGUUGCGAACUCGCGAGGGUAAGCUAAUCUCUUAAAGCUGUUCUCAGUUCGGAUUGUAGGCUGCAACUCGCCUACAUGAAGCCGGAAUCGCUAGUAAUCGCGGAUCAGCACGCCGCGGUGAAUACGUUCCCGGGCCUUGUACACACCGCCCGUCACACCACGAAAGUUUGUAACACCCAAAGUCGGUGAGGUAACCUUCGGGAGCCAGCCGCCUAAGGUGGGGUAGAUGAUUGGGGUGAAGUCGUAACAAGGUAACCA
Molecule: ribosomal RNA, 720 nt
Filed under: uncultured Lactobacillus sp.
Lineage: Bacteria; Bacillati; Bacillota; Bacilli; Lactobacillales; Lactobacillaceae
Description: bacterial SSU rRNA
Rfam family: Bacterial small subunit ribosomal RNA
Source: RNAcentral